CCUACGGGAGGCAGCAGUGAGGAAUAUUGGUCAAUGGGCGGAAGCCUGAACCAGCCAAGUAGCGUGCAGGAUGACGGCCCUACGGGUUGUAAACUGCUUUUAUACGGGAAUAACGCGCCUUACGUGUAGGGCUUUGCAUGUACCGUAUGAAUAAGGACCGGCUAAUUCCGUGCCAGCAGCCGCGGUAAUACGGAAGGUCCGGGCGUUAUCCGGAUUUAUUGGGUUUAAAGGGAGCGUAGGCCGCAUGUCAAGCGUGCUGUGAAAUGUCCGGGCUCAACCCGGGCCUUGCAGCGCGAACUGGCGUGCUUGAGUCCGCGGAAAGCAGGCGGAAUUCGUCGUGUAGCCGUGAAAUGCUUAGAUAUGACGAAGAACCCCGAUUGCGAAGGCAGCUUGCUGCAGCGGAACUGACGCUGAUGCUCGAAAGCGCGGGUAUCGAACAGGAUUAGAUACCCCAGUAGUC
This 460-nucleotide ribosomal RNA is filed under the name uncultured bacterium. RNAcentral's name for it is "partial 16S ribosomal RNA". It matches the Rfam family "Bacterial small subunit ribosomal RNA", at positions 338 to 795 of the family's 1533-position model. The record is from RNAcentral.